RNAcentral lists this ribosomal RNA (254 nucleotides) under uncultured bacterium. Its description in RNAcentral is "partial 16S ribosomal RNA". It matches the Rfam family "Bacterial small subunit ribosomal RNA", at positions 524 to 776 of the family's 1533-position model. The record is from RNAcentral.
UACGUAGGGGGCAAGUGUUAUCCGGAUUUACUGGGUGUAAAGGGAGCGUAGGUGGCAUGGUAAGCCAGAAGUGAAAACCCGGGGCUCAACCCCGCGGAUUGCUUUUGGAACUAUCAGGCUGGAGUGCUGGAGGGGUAAGCGGAAUUCCUAGUGUAGCGGUGAAAUGCGUAGAUAUUAGGAGGAACACCGGUGGCGAAGGCGGCUUACUGGACAGAAACUGACACUGAGGCUCGAAAGCGUGGGGAGCAAACAGG